GGAUUGUGGUUCAGCGGUUGAGCGCUCGCCUAGCACGGGCGGGACCCGAGUUCGAUUCUCAGCACCA
This 67-nucleotide transfer RNA is filed under the name Marmota monax (woodchuck). Its description in RNAcentral is "tRNA.Ala". The record is from RNAcentral. Lineage: Eukaryota; Metazoa; Chordata; Mammalia; Rodentia; Sciuridae.